Molecule: ribosomal RNA, 371 nt
Filed under: uncultured bacterium
Lineage: Bacteria
Description: bacterial SSU rRNA
Rfam family: Bacterial small subunit ribosomal RNA
Source: RNAcentral
GGAGGGUGCUAGCGUUGUUCGGAAUCACUGGGCGUAAAGCGCGUGUAGGCGGCCCACUAAGUCUGAUGUGAAAGCCCGGGGCUCACCCCCGGAAGUGCAUUGGAAACUGGUGGACUCGAGUCCCGGAGAGGAGGGUGGAAUUCCUGGUGUAGCGGUGAAAUGCGUAGAUAUCAGGAGGAACACCGGUGGCGAAGGCGGCCCUCUGGACGGUGACUGACGCUGAGACGCGAAAGCGUGGGGAGCAAACAGGAUUAGAUACCCUGGUAGUCCACGCCGUAAACGAUGAGCACUAGGUGUCGCGGGUAUUGACCCCUGCGGUGCCGACGCUAACGCAUUAAGUGCUCCGCCUGGGGACUACGGCCGCAAGGUUA